Camelina sativa (false flax) is the source of this 434-nucleotide non-coding RNA. Lineage: Eukaryota; Viridiplantae; Streptophyta; Magnoliopsida; Brassicales; Brassicaceae. The record is from RefSeq and is a predicted model, not a curated record.
UAUAAUAAUUUGCCACAAAAAGAAGAUAUGCACAACUUCUUUCAAAAGAUACAAGUCAAAAACUUCUUGACCAAUUGACAUCCUUGACAGAAAUUCAUUGUAGGAUCUUUCGUUACAGCAUGGAGAUCCAGAGUGUGAUGCUUGUAACAUAAUCUCACAAUCCAUGCAAGUUCGGAGACGAUAUCAACAAAGAAGCAAAAAGUUAGCAAGGACUUUUAGGAGUCAUUUGAAAAGAGUCAGGGCAAAAACAUAUCAACUAUGCUUGCUUUCUUCAAAGCCAUGUUCUACGGAUAGUUUACCGGAAUGUCAAAUCUGAAGGAGAAAAGAAUCCGAAGGCAAAUUAAGUACGCCUACUAACUAUAUCCAAGGAUUAAAUCUCAGAGAUCUUCUCUUUUGCUAAGACAUGAAAGAUGCAGGAUCAGAUGUUUGAAGCA